UACGGAGGGUGCAAGCGUUAUCCGGAUUCACUGGGUUUAAAGGGUGCGUAGGCGGCUUGAUAAGUCAUUGGUGAAAGCUCGCAGCUUAACUGCGAAACUGCCAUUGAAACUGUCAAGCUUGAAUGUGGUUGAAGUGGGCGGAAUACAACAUGUAGCGGUGAAAUGCUUAGAUGUGUUUUAGAACACCGAUUGCGAAGGCAGCUCACUAAGCCAAUAUUGACGCUGAGGCACGAAAGCGUGGGUAGCGAACAGG
Molecule: ribosomal RNA, 253 nt
Filed under: uncultured bacterium
Lineage: Bacteria
Description: partial 16S ribosomal RNA
Rfam family: Bacterial small subunit ribosomal RNA
Source: RNAcentral